Non-coding RNA from Trichomycterus rosablanca, 550 nucleotides. NCBI's taxonomy places the organism in Eukaryota, Metazoa, Chordata, Actinopteri, Siluriformes, Trichomycteridae. The record is from the annotation of a RefSeq genome assembly.
UCUUCACCCACAUCAAUCAUGACCUUCAUCUCCAUCUUCAUCUGCACACUGGCUCUCUGCACUCAAGGAUCCAGAGGUCAGGUGACUGUGACUCAGAGUCCUGCAGUAAAACAUGUUGAUCCAGGAGCUUCAGUCACCUUCAGCUGUAAAACCAGUUCUAAUGUUCAUCGAGAUGGUAAUGGAGAUUGGUUAUACUGGUAUCAGCAGAAACCUGGAGAAGCUCAUAAACUCCUGAUCUACUUGACUAACAGAAGAGCAUCAGGUAUUCCAGAUCGUUUCAGUGGCAGUGGAUCUGGAUCUGAUUUCACUCUGACCAUCAGUAGAAUUGAGACUGGAGAUGCAGGAGAUUAUUACUGUCAGAGUGACCAUACUGGUGCUGUCUUCACACAGUGUUAUAUGGUGGUACAAAAACCUGGGUGAGUGGAAGUGUACAGUAACUGCACUGCUGCAGCUGGGACCGACUGCAGGUGCUGAGGGGGAGGAUGUGAUACAGUACAAUCAUUCACUCUGUACAGGAAACACCUCACUCACUCACUACUUCUCCUAAAUA